GUAGGUGGCAAGCGUUGUCCGGAAUUAUUGGGCGUAAAGCGCGCGCAGGCGGUUCUUUAAGUCUGAUGUGAAAGCCCACGGCUCAACCGUGGAGGGUCAUUGGAAACUGGGGGACUUGAGUACAGAAGAGGAAAGCGGAAUUCCAAGUGUAGCGGUGAAAUGCGUAGAGAUUUGGAGGAACACCAGUGGCGAAGGCGGCUUUCUGGUCUGUAACUGACGCUGAGGCGCGAAAGCGUGGGGAGCAAACAGGAUUAGAUACCCUGGUAGUCCACGCCGUAAACGAUGAGUGCUAAGUGUUAGGGGGUUUCCCGCCCCCUUAGUGCUGCAGCUAACGCAUUAAGCACUCCGCCUGGGGAGUACGGCCGCAAGGCUG
RNAcentral lists this ribosomal RNA (373 nucleotides) under uncultured organism. Its description in RNAcentral is "partial 16S ribosomal RNA". It matches the Rfam family "Bacterial small subunit ribosomal RNA", at positions 527 to 896 of the family's 1533-position model. The record is from RNAcentral.